RNAcentral lists this non-coding RNA (184 nucleotides) under Salmonella enterica subsp. enterica serovar Typhi. Its description in RNAcentral is "6S RNA". It matches the Rfam family "6S / SsrS RNA". Rfam says of the family: E. coli 6S RNA was the first non coding RNA to be sequenced, but its function was unknown until recently. It consists of 184 nucleotides that fold into an extended hairpin structure with a large single-stranded internal bulge. Lineage: Bacteria; Pseudomonadati; Pseudomonadota; Gammaproteobacteria; Enterobacterales; Enterobacteriaceae. The record is from RNAcentral.
AUUUCUCUGAGAUGUUUGCAAGCGGGCCAGUCCCCUAAGCCGAUAUUUCAUACCACAAGAAUGUGGCGCUCCGCGGUUGGUGAGCAUGCUCGGUUCGUCCGAGAAGCCUUAAAACUGUGACGACACAUUCACCUUGAACCAAGGGUUCAAGGGUUACAGCCUGCGGCGGCAUCUCGGAGAUUCC